This 477-nucleotide ribosomal RNA is filed under the name uncultured bacterium. RNAcentral describes it as "SSU rRNA". It matches the Rfam family "Bacterial small subunit ribosomal RNA", at positions 26 to 523 of the family's 1533-position model. The record is from RNAcentral.
AGGACGAACGCUGGCGGCGUGCUUAACACAUGCAAGUCGAGCGGUAAGGCCCUUUCGGGGGUACACGAGCGGCGAACGGGUGAGUAACACGUGGGUGACCUGCCCUUAGCUCUGGGAUAAGCCUGGGAAACUGGGUCUAAUACCGGAUAUGACCUCGCGAUGCAUGUCGUGGGGUGGAAAGCCUUGUGCGGCUAGGGAUGGGCCCGCGGCCUAUCAGCUUGUUGGUGGGGUGAUGGCCUACCAAGGCGACGACGGGUAGCCGGCCUGAGAGGGCGACCGGCCACACUGGGACUGAGACACGGCCCAGACUCCUACGGGAGGCAGCAGUGGGGAAUCUUGCGCAAUGGGCGAAAGCCUGACGCAGCGACGCCGCGUGAGGGAUGACGGCCUUCGGGUUGUAAACCUCUUUCAGCCCUGACGAAGCGAAGUGACGGUAGGGCAGAGAGCACGGCCACUACGUGCCAGCAGCCGCGGUAA